AACCGAUUUAACACUGAACUGAUUUAGUUUCGAAAAAGCAGCUCAGCCUAAUUCACUUCUGUGAUGAAGCUUAAGUCGGUUUGUGACGUUACAAGUUCUCCACGCGGUCCGCUACCUUCCUUAAUUCAACAUGGAUGGUAGAAACAAGGAAGAUCUUUCUCAAGACAAAAAACGAACAGAAAGUUGGACUGAGGAAGAAAUAUACGUUUUCCAUAGCAAAAGCAAAAUCAUUCUUUUAUUUCCUUCGCUUAUAUUUUCCGUCAUCACACAAAACAGAUUUUUCAAAUUUGACAAGUCUCAAUCCUAUAUCUGCUAAAUUUCAAGGUUGCCAAUCAGAAGAAAUAUAAGCGAUUUAGCAAUUAAAUAUAAUACUACAGAAACCUGC
This 385-nucleotide long non-coding RNA is filed under the name Androctonus crassicauda. Lineage: Eukaryota; Metazoa; Arthropoda; Arachnida; Scorpiones; Buthidae. The record is from RNAcentral.